GUCCUAGCUGUAAACGAUGGGCACUAGGUAGAGGGGUUUCGAUGCCUUCUCUGCCGGAGCUAAUGUAUUAAGUGCCCCGCCUGGGGAGUAUGGUCGCAAGGCUAAAACUCAAAAGGAAUUGACGGGGGCUCACACAAGCGGUGGAGCAUGUGGUUCAAUUCGAAGCAACGCGAAGAACCUUACCCGGGUUUGAAAUGCUGGGAUUAGUCCCUGAAAGGGGAAUGACGCCGCAAGGUGGAACCAGUACAGGUGUUGCAUGGCUGUCGU
RNAcentral lists this ribosomal RNA (267 nucleotides) under uncultured bacterium. RNAcentral's name for it is "partial 16S ribosomal RNA". It matches the Rfam family "Bacterial small subunit ribosomal RNA", at positions 793 to 1055 of the family's 1533-position model. The record is from RNAcentral.